Molecule: ribosomal RNA, 492 nt
Filed under: uncultured bacterium
Lineage: Bacteria
Description: partial 16S ribosomal RNA
Rfam family: Bacterial small subunit ribosomal RNA
Source: RNAcentral
AGUGAACGCUGGCGGUAGGCCUAACACAUGCAAGUCGAACGGCAGCACAGUAAGAGCUUGCUCUUCCGGGUGGCGAGUGGCGGACGGGUGAGGAAUACAUCGGAAUCUACUUUUUCGUGGGGGAUAACGUAGGGAAACUUACGCUAAUACCGCAUACGCCCUACGGGUGAAAGCAGGGGAUAUUCGGACCUUGCGCGGUUGAAUGAGCCGAUGUCGGAUUAGCUAGUUGGGGGGGUAAAGGCCCACCAAGGCGACGAUCCGUAGCGGGGCUGAGAGGAUGAUCAGCCACACUGGAACUGAGACACGGUCCAGACUCCUACGGGAGGCAGCAGUGGGGAAUAUUGGACAAUGGGCGCAAGCCUGAUCCAGCCAUACCGCGUGGGUGAAGAAGGCCUUCGGGUUGUAAAGCCCUUUUGUUGGGAAAGAAAAGCAGCAGGUUAAUACCCCGCUGUUCUGACGGUACCCAAAGAAUAAGCACCGGCUAACUUCGUG